ACCCCAACCACUUCAUCAUAUCCUUAAAGAUCUUAUCUCUUUUGAUCUUCACCAUUCAAACAAAAAUCAAAGAUAAGAUGGGCAUUGAGAUAUAAUUGUGCGGCAAGAAAGAAACCUCCUUUCCCCUUAGUGCAUGUCCAAACUUUUCCAAAGUUUUUGUCUCACAAGAAAUUAUUCCAUGCCCCAACAAAUCAGAUUAGGAUGUUCUCUG
This 211-nucleotide long non-coding RNA is filed under the name Elaeis guineensis (African oil palm). RNAcentral's name for it is "long non-coding RNA (EGUI_LNC079056)". Lineage: Eukaryota; Viridiplantae; Streptophyta; Magnoliopsida; Arecales; Arecaceae. The record is from RNAcentral.